RNAcentral lists this ribosomal RNA (709 nucleotides) under uncultured bacterium. RNAcentral describes it as "bacterial SSU rRNA". It matches the Rfam family "Bacterial small subunit ribosomal RNA", at positions 60 to 760 of the family's 1533-position model. The record is from RNAcentral.
AGUCGAGCGGUAGCACGGGGAGCUUGCUCCUGGGUGACGAGCGGCGGACGGGUGAGUAAUGUCUGGGGAUCUGCCUGAUGGAGGGGGAUAACUACUGGAAACGGUAGCUAAUACCGCAUAACGUCGCAAGACCAAAGAGGGGGACCUUCGGGCCUCUUGCCAUCAGAUGAACCCAGAUGGGAUUAGCUAGUAGGUGGGGUAAUGGCUCACCUAGGCGACGAUCCCUAGCUGGUCUGAGAGGAUGACCAGCCACACUGGAACUGAGACACGGUCCAGACUCCUACGGGAGGCAGCAGUGGGGAAUAUUGCACAAUGGGCGCAAGCCUGAUGCAGCCAUGCCGCGUGUAUGAAGAAGGCCUUCGGGUUGUAAAGUACUUUCAGCGAGGAGGAAGGCAUUAAGGUUAAUAACCUUGGUGAUUGACGUUACUCGCAGAAGAAGCACCGGCUAACUCCGUGCCAGCAGCCGCGGUAAUACGGAGGGUGCAAGCGUUAAUCGGAAUUACUGGGCGUAAAGCGCACGCAGGCGGUUUGUUAAGUCGGAUGUGAAAUCCCCGGGCUCAACCUGGGAACUGCAUUCGAAACUGGCAAGCUUGAGUCUUGUAGAGGGGGGUAGAAUUCCAGGUGUAGCGGUGAAAUGCGUAGAGAUCUGGAGGAAUACCGGUGGCGAAGGCGGCCCCCUGGACAAAGACUGACGCUCAGGUGCGAAAGC